UAUUUUCUGUCGCUUUUAGGUGGGAAAUUUGCUGAGAAAUCGAGCCUGUUUGACACGAUCCCCCUGCAGCGCGCGGGGAACAAGACGGAGAUUGCCCACAGCAGCCUGUACCUGGCGAGCCCCCUCUCCUCCUACGUGACAGGAACCACCCUGGUCGUGGAUGGUGGGAGCUGGCUCACCUCUGCCAACAGCUUCUCUGCCUUGCUGGGUAUUGCCUCAUCCUCUGCUAAACUCUAGAUUUCUGGUCUGCAGGAGCAAACCAACCCCAGUGAUGGACAGCGUGGGACUGACCGAUGGACAGACGUGACCGAAGCUGCCCGGGGACCCCUCGGGGUGACACCUGUCCCAGAGCAGGUGCCCAUGGCCAUGGCCUCUGAUUGGUAACUGGGGGUGGUGGUGACACUGCCAGCCCUGUGUCUGCCUGGGGGACAGAGCUCAGGAGUUACUGGGUGGGGAGCAGUCCCACACCUAUCCUGUGCCUUGACUGUCUUCUGAGCUGCUGUGGCUGAGGGUGCAGGGACAGCACAAGGGGUGAGGCUGGGAUGGUCACUGUCCCUUUGUGUUCCUCUGAGCUGCUCUCCUGGCCUUUCCCAAGUCCCAGGCAGUGCUGCCCCGGGAUAUCCAUCCUCUUCUGCCCCCAUCUCAGCCUGAGAACUGCCCAGGACCCCCAGCAGCAGCUCCUUUGAGGGAGGGGGAGUAGCUCAGCUCACCUGGGGUCAGAAUCACCCAGUGUGGUGGGGCCAGCUCUACCUUUGCAGCAGGAUCCAGCAGCUCUCAGAGGGGAAACAACCGGCCCCUGGCAGGGGGAAGUGGCCUCAUCCCCUCCGGGAGUCCAGAGUGGGCAUCCUGAAGGCUGCCAUGGAUGCAGCCAAGGUGCCCCUCUCCCAGGAGCAGAGCUGGUGUGAAGGCAGAUCCUCCCAGAGGACUGGGGUGCCAGCACCCUGGGGGCACACACUGCUCCCAUGCAGCCUCCUGCCGCUGAAGGCAGCUUUUAGCCUCACUCUGAAUUCCAUGAAGCUUGUUUUCCCACCUAAUUGUGUUUCCUACUUGAUUGUAAACUUGCCAGGUUUUGCUCCUUCCUUCAGGUCACGAAUAAAGAAUUUGCACCCUGA
Manacus vitellinus (golden-collared manakin) is the source of this 1112-nucleotide long non-coding RNA. RefSeq lists it as uncharacterized. The transcript has 2 exons. NCBI's taxonomy places the organism in Eukaryota, Metazoa, Chordata, Aves, Passeriformes, Pipridae. The record is from RefSeq and is a predicted model, not a curated record.